CCCUUAGAUGUUCGGGGCCGCACGCGCGCUACACUGAAGGAAUCAGCACGUCUUUCUCCUUGUCCGAAAGGACUGGGUAACCCGCUGAACCUCCUUCGUGCUAGGGAUUGGGGCUUGUAAUUCUUCCCCAUGAACGAGGAAUUCCCAGUAAGCGCGAGUCAUAAGCUCGCGUUGAUUACGUCCCUGCCCUUUGUACACACCGCCCGUCGCUACUACCGAUUGGAUGGUUUAGUGAGAUCCUCGGAUUGGUCCUGGCGCGGCCUCUGGUCGUGCCGGAGUGCCGAAAAGAAUGUCGAACUUGAUCAUCUAGAGGAAGUAAAAGUCGUAACA
This 330-nucleotide ribosomal RNA is filed under the name uncultured eukaryote. RNAcentral's name for it is "partial 18S ribosomal RNA". It matches the Rfam family "Eukaryotic small subunit ribosomal RNA", at positions 1470 to 1796 of the family's 1831-position model. The record is from RNAcentral.